UCGGAAUGGACUGCGCCGCCGCCCGCAGCUCCCUCUUUCCCUUGCUCCCCCAGCGGCCACAAGACGCCUUGCUAGCGACCCCGCACCUCCGCCGCGCCCUACCGCCGGCGACCUCCCCGCCCGACCUCCGGUCGCUCCGCCGCCUUGGCCAUCUCCCUUCUUCUCCUGCUUAUCGAUCUCCUCUCACCUCUAUCCCUCUUUCUCCCUGGAUAGGGACCUCCAUGGCGCUGUCAACCCUCAAUCUUGCCUGACCCGGCCGCCUCCAUGCGAAAUCCAUCAAAAAUGGAUCCACCCCGGCCAGAUCCGCCCGGAUCCGACCGGGCCCCGCCGUCAUUGCCACAAGAGCGCCGGCCCCGCUCGACUUGCAACACCACCUACAACUGGUAGCCCAUGAAGAACCUCAUCUCUCUGAUUUGCUCCCUAUUUGUUGCAAGAUGGGCAAGAACCAGAUAUAGUAGUUGCAACAAAAGGGAUGAAUUUAGAGGAAGAUGCAGCAAGGCAGAGGCUUUGCUGUAAAUCAUGUAUUUUCCCCUUACACAUAAGGUGCCAGCUUCUAAUCAGUCUUUUCAGAAUUUAUCGAUUAAAAGAGCAACUUCGGCAUGCAAUGGAACCUUUUCAAAUUGCCAUGGUGCUAUUUUUGUGCAGAAAUAAAAGUUCUCGGAAUGACCUAAAAUUCAACGGAGAUUAUUUUUGGAAU
Molecule: non-coding RNA, 697 nt
Organism: Triticum urartu
Lineage: Eukaryota; Viridiplantae; Streptophyta; Magnoliopsida; Poales; Poaceae
Source: RefSeq, a predicted model, not a curated record